This 170-nucleotide unclassified non-coding RNA is filed under the name uncultured Clonostachys. RNAcentral's name for it is "sequence contains ITS2". Lineage: Eukaryota; Fungi; Ascomycota; Sordariomycetes; Hypocreales; Bionectriaceae. The record is from RNAcentral.
CAACCCUCAUGCCCCCCGGGGCGUGGUGUUGGGGAUCGGCCAGAAGCCCGCAAGGGACGGGCCGUCCCCUAAAUACAGUGGCGGACUCGCUGUGGCAUCCCCUGUGAAGUAGUGAUAUUCCACAUUGGAGCAGCAGCGAGACCCUGCCGUUAAACCCCCCAACUUUCCAA